RNAcentral lists this ribosomal RNA (398 nucleotides) under uncultured bacterium. RNAcentral's name for it is "bacterial SSU rRNA". It matches the Rfam family "Bacterial small subunit ribosomal RNA", at positions 28 to 407 of the family's 1533-position model. The record is from RNAcentral.
GACGAACGCUGGCGGCGUGCUUAACACAUGCAAGUCGAACGAGAAGAGAUGAGAAGCUUGCUUCUUAUUGAUUCGAGUGGCAAACGGGUGAGUAACGCGUAAGCAACCUGCCCUUCAGAUGGGGACAACAGCUGGAAACGGCUGCUAAUACCGAAUACGUCUUUUGUCGCAUGGCAGAGGGGAAGAAAGGGAGGCUCUUCGGAGCUUUCGCUGAAGGAGGGGCUUGCGUCUGAUUAGCUAGUUGGAGGGUAACGGCCACCAAGGCGACGAUCAGUAGCCGGUCUGAGAGGAUGAACGGCCACAUUGGGACUGAGACACGGCCCAGACUCCUACGGAGGCAGCAGUGGGGAAUAUUGGGCAAUGGGGGGAACCCUGGAUGCAGCGACGCCGCGUGGAGG